RNAcentral lists this ribosomal RNA (440 nucleotides) under uncultured bacterium. RNAcentral describes it as "partial 16S ribosomal RNA". It matches the Rfam family "Bacterial small subunit ribosomal RNA", at positions 338 to 795 of the family's 1533-position model. The record is from RNAcentral.
CCUACGGGUGGCAGCAGUGGGGAAUAUUGCACAAUGGGGGAAACCCUGAUGCAGCGACGCCGCGUGAGCGAUGACGUAUUUCGGUAUGUAAAGCUCUAUCAGCAGGGAAGAAAAUCACGUUACCUGUCUAAGAAUCCCCGGCUAACUCCGUGCCAGCAGCCGUGGUAAUACGUAGGGGGCCAGCGUUAUCCGGAUUUACCGGGUGUAAAGGGAGCGUAGACGGCGAUGCAAGCCUGAUGUGAAAGCCCGGGGCUCAACCCCGGGACUGCAUUGGGAACUGGAUAGCUGGAGUGUCGGGGAGGCAGGCGGAAUUCCUAGUGUAGCGGUGAAAUGCGUAGAUAUGAGGAGGAACACCGGUGGCGAAGGCGGCCUGCUGGACGAGGACUGACGUUGAGGCUCGAAAGCGUGGGGAGCAAACAGGAUUAGAUACCCGGGUAGUC